This 788-nucleotide long non-coding RNA is filed under the name Helianthus annuus (common sunflower). The record is from RNAcentral. Lineage: Eukaryota; Viridiplantae; Streptophyta; Magnoliopsida; Asterales; Asteraceae.
GGUAACCUAACAGACGUCCCUCACAAUCAUACGUAAGAGUGAAUGUGUUCGUCUCUUCACCUUCAUCAUCCUUGCUGUUUUCCCUCCUCUCCCUUUAUCGCCAUCAGUUGUGAAUGUCAAGCACACAAAACGCCCAAUUUCAUUCAAUACGCCAUGAAUCUAAUCGAUUGAAACUCCCAUGAUUGCUAUAUCAAUAAAGGAAGUUCACCACCAAAUGCUAGAAAUCAUUCGUUCAGGGUUACAGUCAUGCCCUCAAAGACACUCUUAAUAGGUCCAUGGCCAUCUCUUCUACCCGAUGUAUUGCUCCCCACAAAUUUCUGGGGUUUUCCAUUUAUUCUACAAUCAUUUUGAAGCGAAGCAGAUUCACCACUUCAAUCCUGUGGACUCUCAGGUCCAAUUUUCUACUCAUAAUUUCGUAACUGGUACCAAAUCGUUUUUGCAGCAUUGAUAUGAGUUUAUUCAUUACUGAUACAAGAAGUGUCAGUAAAAGAAUGGAUGGCACAAAUUUUAGGUAAUAUGGUGUGUUCUAUAGUAUUAUUCUAGGUUAUGGGUGUAUUUAGGUGAACGGAAUAAAGAUCAUACAUGGUAUGUGUGUACAUGGAGUGACAAACCCCACCCAAAUUCAUUUGUAAGCUCACUACUCUUUUGAUUUCAUACAACUGUAAUAGUUAAUGGAAAGGUAUAGUGAAAUUAGCUACAACUGCGUCGAAUGGUAUCAAGCUUUUGAUCUGCGGUUGGUAUAGGCUUACGCUUGUCACGUGUGGCUAAAAAAAGAUAGUGUUGUAUGC